This 1016-nucleotide ribosomal RNA is filed under the name Alcaligenes faecalis. RNAcentral's name for it is "bacterial SSU rRNA". It matches the Rfam family "Bacterial small subunit ribosomal RNA", at positions 30 to 1036 of the family's 1533-position model. Lineage: Bacteria; Pseudomonadati; Pseudomonadota; Betaproteobacteria; Burkholderiales; Alcaligenaceae. The record is from RNAcentral.
UAGUAGCUGCGGGAGCUUUACACAUGCAAGUCGAACGGCAGCGCGAGAGAGCUUGCUCUCUUGGCGGCGAGUGGCGGACGGGUGAGUAAUAUAUCGGAACGUGCCCAGUAGCGGGGGAUAACUACUCGAAAGAGUGGCUAAUACCGCAUACGCCCUACGGGGGAAAGGGGGGGAUCGCAAGACCUCUCACUAUUGGAGCGGCCGAUAUCGGAUUAGCUAGUUGGUGGGGUAAAGGCUCACCAAGGCAACGAUCCGUAGCUGGUUUGAGAGGACGACCAGCCACACUGGGACUGAGACACGGCCCAGACUCCUACGGGAGGCAGCAGUGGGGAAUUUUGGACAAUGGGGGAAACCCUGAUCCAGCCAUCCCGCGUGUAUGAUGAAGGCCUUCGGGUUGUAAAGUACUUUUGGCAGAGAAGAAAAGGUAUCUCCUAAUACGAGAUACUGCUGACGGUAUCUGCAGAAUAAGCACCGGCUAACUACGUGCCAGCAGCCGCGGUAAUACGUAGGGUGCAAGCGUUAAUCGGAAUUACUGGGCGUAAAGCGUGUGUAGGCGGUUCGGAAAGAAAGAUGUGAAAUCCCAGGGCUCAACCUUGGAACUGCAUUUUUAACUGCCGAGCUAGAGUAUGUCAGAGGGGGGUAGAAUUCCACGUGUAGCAGUGAAAUGCGUAGAUAUGUGGAGGAAUACCGAUGGCGAAGGCAGCCCCCUGGGAUAAUACUGACGCUCAGACACGAAAGCGUGGGGAGCAAACAGGAUUAGAUACCCUGGUAGUCCACGCCCUAAACGAUGUCAACUAGCUGUUGGGGCCGUUAGGCCUUAGUAGCGCAGCUAACGCGUGAAGUUGACCGCCUGGGGAGUACGGUCGCAAGAUUAAAACUCAAAGGAAUUGACGGGGACCCGCACAAGCGGUGGAUGAUGUGGAUUAAUUCGAUGCAACGCGAAAAACCUUACCUACCCUUGACAUGUCUGGAAAGCCGAAGAGAUUUGGCCGUGCUCGCAAGAGAACCGGGACACA